RNAcentral lists this ribosomal RNA (253 nucleotides) under uncultured bacterium. RNAcentral's name for it is "partial 16S ribosomal RNA". It matches the Rfam family "Bacterial small subunit ribosomal RNA", at positions 524 to 776 of the family's 1533-position model. The record is from RNAcentral.
UACGUAGGGUGCGAGCGUUAAUCGGAAUUACUGGGCGUAAAGCGUGCGCAGGCGGUGAUGUAAGACAGGUGUGAAAUCCCCGAGCUUAACCUGGGAACUGCAUUUGUGACUGCAUUGCUGGAGUGCGGCAGAGGGGGAUGGAAUUCCGCGUGUAGCAGUGAAAUGCGUAGAUAUGCGGAGGAACACCGAUGGCGAAGGCAAUCCCCUGGGCCUGCACUGACGCUCAUGCACGAAAGCGUGGGGAGCAAACAGG